Molecule: ribosomal RNA, 500 nt
Filed under: uncultured eukaryote
Lineage: Eukaryota
Description: SSU rRNA
Rfam family: Eukaryotic small subunit ribosomal RNA
Source: RNAcentral
UAGACUCAGAUAGCCAUGCAUGUCUAAGUAUAAAUGAUAUACAGUGAAACUGCGAAUGGCUCAUUAAAACAGUUAUAGUUUAUUUGGUAAUCGAAUUUACAUGGAUAACCGUGGUAAUUCUAGAGCUAAUACAUGCUGUAAAGCCCGACUUCACGGAAGGGCCGUAUUUAUUAGAUAACAGACCAAUAUUCCUCGUGUCUAUUGUGGUGAAUCAUAGUAACUAAUCGGAUCGCAUGGGCUAGUCCCGCGACAAACCAUUCAAGUUUCUGCCCCAUCAGCUUUCGAUGGUAGUGUAUUGGACUACCAUGGCUUUUACGGGUAACGGAGGAUUAGGGUUCGAUUCCGGAGAGGGAGCCUGAGAAACGGCUACCACAUCUAAGGAAGGCAGCAGGCGCGUAAAUUACCCAAUCCUAAUUCAGGGAGGUAGUGACAAGAAAUAACGGGUCGGGGCUAUGCCCCGGGACUGCAAUGAGAUGAAUUUACACCCCUUUUCGAGUAAC